This 1700-nucleotide long non-coding RNA is filed under the name Capsicum annuum. RNAcentral describes it as "long non-coding RNA (CANN_LNC000224)". The record is from RNAcentral. Lineage: Eukaryota; Viridiplantae; Streptophyta; Magnoliopsida; Solanales; Solanaceae.
AAAUAUCUAACUUUUAGAGAGAAACUAGUAAUAUUUUCCCCUAUAAAUAGAGGGAGUUUUGUUCAAUGUAUCCUCACUCUCAUGCUCAAGAGAAAUAAAUAAUAUACUACGGUUCCCUGCGGUCCAAACCCGAUAACAGUUGGAUUUUCUCAUAUUUCAUAUAUAUCUUUAUUCUCUAUAAAGCCUUCCAAAACAAAUUUAUCGCUUCAAUAUGAAACAACGUUGUGCUUGAGUACGUAUAAAAAAGGCUAUCUUAUAGCACGUGUUUAUGCUCUAACACCUCCCUUGAAUAUAAUUGGAACAAGAUUAAUUAUUGACCACUAUUAUUGCUUCCAGAGUUGUAAUGCGGUCUUUCUCCGGUGACGGUGAGGCUCUUCUCGAAUGCUCAGUUGUGAGCCAAUGCUUUUCGUGCUUUAAUCUUCUUCGUUCUCCCUAAGUUGUUUAGAAUUUGAUCUCUCCACAUGUUGUGGUGUGGUUGCUCUUUUUAUUAGAUUCGAUUUUGCCUGCCCCCAUACAACUAGAAGGAUAAACUUCAAAUAAAAAAACAUUUAAAAACUUUAUUAUGCAUUUUAAGGGGGUUUGAGCUACAAGUGACAAAAGAGUUUUAAAAUGAGGUGUAUGUGACAGAAGUCUUAAUUAUUAAUUGUAGGUGACAAUUACUUUAUUAUGUAUUAAAAAAGUUGAGAAAAUUUUAAAAUAACCCACAAGUUUUUAAAUUUACACUUUGAUCCCAAUGUAUACCUAAAAUAACGGGAAACGGAGGAAAAAAAAGUAUCUCUCUCUUCUCAUCGAUUCUCUUAGCGAUUUUUGUUGUUAAUUAUUUCUGUUUCUGUUGCUUUAUUCAUCAUCUUCUGCUUCAUCUUCUUCUUGUUGACCAUUUGUUGUUGUUGUUGUUGUUGUUGUUGGUACAACGCUACUGCUGCGAUCUGACCAAUUUCUUAGGUCAAAUUUUGUUUACUACAUCACUUUCCACUUUUGCAUUACUUCAUAGGUUACUUUGGUAAGUAAAACUAUGAUUUUUAUUCGUAUUUGUCAUCUGAGUAUACUUCUAUUUUUUCAAUAAUGGAUAGAACCCCGAUUAUGAAUCCAGCACAAGUGCCCACAAUUUAAACAGAUCAAUCAUCUGGUGCAUCAGAUGAGUAAUCUGUUGCAUCAAACUAUUUAUCUGUUGCAUUAUCAUAUUAUCUGCUGCAUCAGACGUAUUAUCUAUUGUAUCAGGAUAUUUAUCUGUUGCACCAGACUAAUUAUCUGUUGCAUCAGAAUGUUUAUCUGUUGCACCAGACUAAUUAUCUAUUGCAACGAAUGAUUAAUCUGUUUGAAACACCACAAAUCAACCCCUGCCAUAAACCUAACAGAUAAAUCUUGCUAUUGCUAUUGGAUUCUAAAUUAUUCCUUUUUACAUCGAAUCGUCGAAAUGUUUAUUGAGAAUAUAAUAGACAGAAUGAAAAUUAAAUAUGGAUUAAAACGUCAAAGAUCAAACAUAAUUUAUUUAUUAAACAAAUAAAAAUACAUAUAAUAGACUAAAAGAAAAACAAUUGUCUAAUUAUUAUUAUUAUUAUCAGCAUCAUCAUUGCCAACCGGCCAAUCUUCAACCGAAAGUAGCAACGCCCUCCUCAGCCUGCGUAUCUCAUGGAGCAUUCUUGAUCUAAAUCCUCCCAAUUCCUAUUGCAGAUCACGAACUUGAUUCCAAAGUUCAUUCA